GCCAAGACCAUAAAUUACUACCUAAAAAGAAAGAAAGGGGGGAUAGAAAAGUGGGGAAAUUUCCCAACUUGCAUCGAAACCUCUUUCGUGGAAUCAUCUCGAUUGAUCUUUGAUCUCAUGAAAAUCAGCUAUAGUGACACCGCAAAGCCACACAGUACCCGGAUCACCAAUCUUGUGUGCUGGAAUGAUUUCCCCAACGGCUGUUAAUUACUUCCUGCACCUCCAAGUUGCUUCUUGCACCCUUUCUAGAAUGUUUUCUUUUUUACAUUCCAGAACCUAAAAAAGAGAUGCAUUUUGUAUUGUAAUUUUACAUUCUGAAUUGACCAUUCCAAAGCCAUAAAAGAGGUGUUGGAAGCAACUUGGGAGAUGCAGGAA
RNAcentral lists this long non-coding RNA (375 nucleotides) under Glycine max (soybean). RNAcentral describes it as "long non-coding RNA (GMAX_LNC000267)". The record is from RNAcentral. Lineage: Eukaryota; Viridiplantae; Streptophyta; Magnoliopsida; Fabales; Fabaceae.